CCUACGGGUGGCAGCAGUGAGGAAUAUUGGUCAAUGGACGAGAGUCUGAACCAGCCAAGUAGCGUGAAGGAUGACUGCCCUAUGGGUUGUAAACUUCUUUUAUAUGGGAAUAAAAUGUUCCACGUGUGGGAUUUUGUAUGUACCAUAUGAAUAAGGAUCGGCUAACUCCGGGCCAGCAGCCGCGGUAAUACGGAGGAUCCGAGCGUUAUCCGGAUUUAUUGGGUUUAAAGGGAGCGUAGGUGGAUUGUUAAGUCAGUUGUGAAAGUUUGCGGCUCAACCGUAAAAUGGCAGUUGAAACUGGCAGUCUUGAGUACAGUAGAGGUGGGCGGAAUUCGUGGUGUAGCGGUGAAAUGCUUAGAUAUCACGAAGAACUCCGAUUGCGAAGGCAGUUCACUGGACUGCAACUGACACUGAGGCUCGAAAGUGUGGGUAUCAAACAGGAUUAGAUACCCGAGUAGUC
This 460-nucleotide ribosomal RNA is filed under the name uncultured bacterium. RNAcentral describes it as "partial 16S ribosomal RNA". It matches the Rfam family "Bacterial small subunit ribosomal RNA", at positions 338 to 795 of the family's 1533-position model. The record is from RNAcentral.